Pyrus x bretschneideri (Chinese white pear) is the source of this 973-nucleotide long non-coding RNA. RefSeq lists it as uncharacterized. The record is from RefSeq and is a predicted model, not a curated record. The transcript is spliced from 4 exons. NCBI's taxonomy places the organism in Eukaryota, Viridiplantae, Streptophyta, Magnoliopsida, Rosales, Rosaceae.
CUUUCUCUAGAACUCUCCCUCAUUCUCUCGUAUCCCUCUCUUCCGUCUUUCCUCUCUAGCGAACCAAGCAUAUACACACACCCACACCUACAAACAACAACCACAACGGUCACCACACCAUCAACAUCAUUUCCCCUACGAGUUCUACAAACCCAGAAUAAGGAGAAACCCUGAUUUCUCACUGUGCAAAAAGGUGAUCCGUUGAGUUCUCACCAUUUUUCGACGAGGUGCAACGGAGGGAAGUGAUCCAGUCCAUUCUAGUUUGAGCAGCUCUUCGAUAAAACAGUACUUGACAUAGUGACGAAGAGUACAACCCGAGCUUCGAGGCUUUUCCCUACCAGUGAUCCUGCUUACUUCCAUUUACAUAUGUUAUUUAGAAGGGCUAUUAAUGAACACCAAACAAUUUGAAAUCGUAUAAAAGAAUGACUCGUGUGCUUGAUCUAGAUAAAAUGACUUAAGCCAUCUCGAAACCAGCCGAUCAAAUUUAUCCAAAUUCUAAUGAAAGUAAGUCGUACUCAUUUUCAUUUAUAAGUGAGAUAUUUUAAAUUAGAAUUUUGUGAAUGACGAGUUCAAUACCAAUUUAUUCUCUCACCCUUAAUGUAAAUGUAUAUCGUUGUAUUAAAAAAAUUACAUUAUAUACAUGCAUACCCCAUAACAAACUAAAUCACUUAAGACUUCAUUUUUUAAAUAUUUGCUUUAAAACAACAAACACAAGGUUUUGCCAUAAAGCUAAUUAGUAAUAUAGAAAGUAUCUCAAUUAUUUAUAAGCACAUAAAAUGUCCCUCAUCCCAUUAAUGCAUGAUUCGUUCUCAACAAUAUUCUACCAAGCAUAUCAAGUUUUGAGCUGUAGUUUGUAUAAUAUGGAUCUAAAAAAUAAAUAAAUAUCGGCCGUCGUGACGUCGUCUACCAUCUUACGGACCUCUUUUUAACACACAAAAUGAUACAACUAAACAUAUUAUUAAUUACCAAUCAA